GUUGAACUUGAGUUUGUGAUUUUGUUGAACUUGAGUUUGUGUCGUGUUUUAACUUGAGUUUGUGAUGUUUUUGAAUUUGAGUUUGUGUGUUGGUUGAACUUGAGUUUGUGUUGUGUUUGACCUUGAGUUUGUGGUGUUUUUGAACUUAAGUUUGUUUCGUGUUUGAACUUGAGUUCUUGUCAUGUUUGAACUUGAGUUUGUGGUGUUUUUGAACUUGAGUUUGUGGUGUGUUUGAACUUGAGUUUGUGUGUUUUGUUGAACUUAAGGUUGUUGCAAUUUUUAAACUUGAGAUUUGGGAAUUUGUUAAACUUGAGUUAUUGUGUUUGUUGAACUUGAGUUCGUGUCGUGUUUGAACUUGAGUUUGUGGUGUUUUUGAACUUGAGUUUGUGUGUUUGUUGAACUUGAGUUUGUGUUGUGUUUGAACUUGAGUUUGUGUUGUUUUUGAGCUUGAGUGUGUGGUGUUUUUGAACUUGAGUUUAUGAUAUUUUUGAACUUGAGGUUGUGGAAAUUGUUUAACUUGAGAAUUGAGUAUUGUUUGAACUUGAGUUUUUUUGUUUUUGAACUUGAGUUUGUGUCGUGUUUAAACUUGAGUUUGUCGUGUGUUUGAACUUGAGUUUGUGUGUUUUUUGAACUUGAGGUUGUGGCAAUUGUUAAACUUGAGAUUUGGGUGAUCGUUGAACUUUAGUUUGUGUCGUGUUUGAACUUUAGUUAAUGUUGUUUGUUUAACUUGAGUUUGUCUGUUUUUUUAACUUGAGGUUUUGGCAAUUUUCAAGGUUGAGAUUUGGGUAUUGGUUGAACUUGAGUUAGUGUGUUUGUUGAACUUGAGUUCGUGUCGUGUUUGAACUUGAGUUUUUAGUGUUUUUGAACUUGAGUCUGUGUGUUUUUUUAACUUUAAUUUGUGUUGUGUUUGAACGUGAGUUUGUGGUGUUUUUGAACUUGUUUGUUUCAUGUUUGAACUUGAGUUUGUGGCGUUUGUUGAACUUGAGUUUGUGGUGUUUGUUGAACUUGAGUUUGUGUCAUGUUUGAACUUGAGUUUGUAGUGUGUUUGACCAUGAGUUUGUGGUGUGUUUGAACUUAAGUUUGUGUGUUUGUUGAACUUGAGGUUGUGGCAAUUUUCAAGCUUGAGAUUUGGAUGUUGGUUGAACUUGAGUUUGUGUGUUUUUUGAAUUUGAGUUCGUGUUGUUUGUUGAACUUGAGUUUGUGAAAAUUUUUAAACUUGAGAAUCAGGUGUUGGUUGAACUUGAGUUUGUGGUUUUUGGUAGACCAGAGUUUGUGUCGUGUUUGAACUUGAGUUUGUGGUGUUUUUGAACUUGAGUUUGUUUCGUGUUUGAACUUGAGUUUGUGGCAUUUGUUGAACUUGAGUUUGUGAAAAUUUUUAAACUUGAGAAUCAGGUGUUGGUUGAACUUGAGUUUGUGUGUUUUUUGAACUUGAGUUUCUGUUGUUUUUGAACUUGAGGUUGUGGAAAUGGUAAAACUUGAGAAUCAGGUGUUGGUUGAACUUGAGUUGCGUGUUUGGUGAAUUUGAGUUUGUAUUGUCGUUGUACUUGAGGUUUUGUUGUUUUUGAACUUGAGGUUGUGGAAAUUGUUAAACUUGAGAAUCAGGUGUUGGUUGAACUUGAGUUUGUGUGUUUGUUGAACUUGAGUUUGUGUCGUGUUUGAACUUGAGUUUGUGUCGUUUUUGAACUAUAGUUUGUGUGUUUGUUGAACUUGAGUUUGUGUUGUGUUUGAACUUGAGUUUGUGUGUAUUUUGAACUUGAGUUUGUUUCGUGUUUGGUGAACUUGAGAUUGUGUGAUUAUUGAACUUGAGUUUCUGUUGUUUUUGAACUUGAGGUUUUGGAAAAGGUUAAACUUGAGAAUCAGGUUUUGGUUGAACUUGAGUUGCGUGUUUGGUGAACUUGAGUUUGUAUUGUCUUUGAACUUGAGUUUUUGGUGUUUUUGAACUUGUGUUUGUGUGUUUUUGAACUUGAGUUUGUGGUGUUUUUGAACUUAAGUUUGUUUCGUGUUUGAACUUGAGUUCUUGUCAUGUUUGAACUUGAGUUUGUGGUGUUUUUGAACUUGAGUUUGUGGUGUGUUUGAACUUGAGUUUGUGUGUUUUGUUGAACUUAAGGUUGUUGCAAUUUUUAAACUUGAGAUUUGGGAAUUUGUUAAACUUGAGUUAUUGUGUUUGUUGAACUUGUGUUCGUGUCGUGUUUGAACUUGAGUUUGUGGUGUUUUUGAACUUGAGUUUGUGUGUUUGUUGAACUUGAGUUUGUGUUGUGUUUGAACUUGAGUUUGUGUUGUUUUUGAGCUUGAGUGUGUGGUGUUUUUGAACUUGAGUUUAUGAUAUUUUUGAACUUGAGGUUGUGGAAAUUGUUUAACUUGAGAAUUGAGUAUUGUUUGAACUUGAGUUUUUUUGUUUUUGAACUUGAGUUUGUGUCGUGUUUUAACUUGAGUUUGUCGUGUGUUUGAACUUGAGUUUGUGUGUUUUUUGAACUUGAGGUUGUGGCAAUUGUUAAACUUGAGAUUUGGGUGAUCGUUGAACUUUAGUUUGUGUCGUGUUUGAACUUUAGUUAAUGUUGUUUGUUUAACUUGAGUUUGUCUGUUUUUUUAACUUGAGGUUUUGAAAUUUUUUAAACUUGAGAUUUGGGUAUUGGUUGAACUUGAGUUAGUGUGUUUGUUGAACUUGAGUUCGUGUCGUGUUUGAACUUGAGUUUUUAGUGUUUUUGAACUUGAGUCUGUGUGUUUUUUUAACUUUAAUUUGUGUUGUGUUUGAACGUGAGUUUGUGGUGUUUUUGAACUUGUGUUUGUUUCAUGUUUGAACUUGAGUUUGUGGCGUUUGUUGAAC
Molecule: non-coding RNA, 2824 nt
Organism: Xyrichtys novacula (pearly razorfish)
Lineage: Eukaryota; Metazoa; Chordata; Actinopteri; Labriformes; Labridae
Source: the annotation of a GenBank genome assembly